RNAcentral lists this long non-coding RNA (1293 nucleotides) under Homo sapiens (human). RNAcentral's name for it is "non-protein coding lnc-XPC-10:1". The record is from RNAcentral. Lineage: Eukaryota; Metazoa; Chordata; Mammalia; Primates; Hominidae.
AGGGCCAAGCAGCGUGGCUCCCGAGGGAGUUGGUGGGCAGCAGGGGAGACAAUAGCGAACAUGCUGUGUGGGCUCAGCCGGGAGACCCCUGGAGAGGCGGACGAUGGGCCCUACUCCAAAGGAGGCAAGGACGCAGGAGGGGCCGACGUUUCCCUGGCGUGCCGCAGACAGAGCAUUCCAGAGGAGUUCCGAGGGAUCACUGUGGUGGAGCUGAUCAAGAAAGAAGGCAGCACGCUGGGCCUGACUAUCUCAGGUGGCACCGACAAGGAUGGAAAGCCCAGGGUCUCCAACCUGAGACCUGGGGGACUUGCAGCCAGGAGUGAUCUGCUGAACAUUGGUGACUAUAUUCGGUCUGUGAACGGGAUCCACCUGACCAGGCUCCGCCACGAUGAGAUCAUCACCCUGCUCAAGAAUGUGGGCGAGCGCGUGGUGCUGGAGCUCCUGAGAAUAACCCCAGGAUCAUUUCAAAGACAGUGGACGUCUCCCUCUACAAGGAGGGCAAUAGCUUUGGCUUUGUCCUUAGAGGUCAGUGAAAGAAUUGCCCUUGGUAUUGGGGCAGCAAGAAAGAGGCUAAUACUAAUUCCAUGUGUGUGCUGUUUGGAUUUGAAUGUAAUUUAUGUGUAUCUCAGUUCUGACUUUGAAGAACACAGGACCGUUAAGGUAAGUAUUCAGUGGGAAAAUCUGCCAAGCAAUGAAGUAGGCUUGGUUGGGGAGAGUGAGAGGAGAAAGUUGUACCGGAAAAUGAUGGUGAAAGCUGCUACCGAGACUGAGAACAAAGUCUGGAGCUUCCUAGAGAUCAGGGAAAAGGGGAAAUAAGGUGAGGUCACAGAAGGGAGGCAAGCCAUUUAACAGAGAGAAGACUUUGGUCAUGUUACCCACCCCUUGCACCAUCUCUUGGGAGGGCGAAUUUAUUGUUGGUGUCUCAUAAGAGGGUCCAUGGAUAGCAAGGACAAGGUCCUCAAACAGGUUUUAUUGAAGGAGCCUGCUCAGGGGCUGUGUGGGAGCCUCUGGAUGGGAAGGGGUGGGUGGAUGAUUCCUGCUUCUUGUCAAAUCCUGUCCAGGAGGUGCCCAUGAAGAUGGGCACAAGUCCCGCCCGCUUGUCCUGACCUACGUGCGGCCCGGUGGCCCUGCCGACAGGUGAGCCGAGGCAGAAGAAAUCCACACACUGCACUGACCUGCCCCAACUCCCCUGCGAAGAAGGUGGAGUGGGGUCACCAUGCCCCUUCCCCAGAUGAAGAGAUCGAGGCCCUGAGGGAACACUCCCUGCCCGGUGUCAUUCAGGGAGUUGUUGAU